UGCGCAGGCGGAAUAUUAAGUCAGUGGUGAAAGCCUACAGCUCAACUGUAGAACUGCCAUUGAUACUGAUAUUCUUGAGUAUAGUUGUAGUGGGCGGAAUAUAUCAUGUAGCGGUGAAAUGCUUAGAUAUGAUAUAGAACACCGAUCGCGAAGGCAGCUCACUAAGCUAUAACUGACGCUCAGGCACGAAAGCGUGGGGAGCAAACAGGAUUAGAUACCCUGGUAGUCC
This 229-nucleotide ribosomal RNA is filed under the name uncultured bacterium. RNAcentral describes it as "partial 16S ribosomal RNA". It matches the Rfam family "Bacterial small subunit ribosomal RNA", at positions 568 to 796 of the family's 1533-position model. The record is from RNAcentral.